Molecule: small nuclear RNA, 191 nt
Organism: Pteronotus mesoamericanus
Lineage: Eukaryota; Metazoa; Chordata; Mammalia; Chiroptera; Mormoopidae
Product: U2 spliceosomal RNA
Exons: 1
Source: RefSeq, a predicted model, not a curated record
UCUGCUUCCCUGCUUUUUACUGGCUAAGAUCAAGUGUAGUAUCUGUUCUUAUCAGUUUAAUAAGUUUUUACAGAGGAACAGAAGCCAUCAACAAAAUGAAAAGACAACUCACUGAAUGGGAGAACAUAUUUGCCGAUACAUCUGAUAAGAGGGUAAUAUCCAAAAUAUGUAAAGAACUUAUACAACUCAAU